UUAAGCGACUAAGCGUACACGGUGGAUGCCCUGGCAGUCAGAGGCGAUGAAGGACGUGCUAAUCUGCGAUAAGCGUCGGUAAGGUGAUAUGAACCGUUAUAACCGGCGAUUUCCGAAUGGGGAAACCCAGUGUGUUUCGACACACUAUCAUUAACUGAAUCCAUAGGUUAAUGAGGCGAACCGGGGGAACUGAAACAUCUAAGUACCCCGAGGAAAAGAAAUCAACCGAGAUUCCCCCAGUAGCGGCGAGCGAACGGGGAGCAGCCCAGAGCCUGAAUCAGUAUGUGUGUUAGUGGAAGCGUCUGGAAAGGCGCGCGAUACAGGGUGACAGCCCCGUACACAAAAAUGCACAUGCUGUGAGCUCGAUGAGUAGGGCGGGACACGUGGUAUCCUGUCUGAAUAUGGGGGGACCAUCCUCCAAGGCUAAAUACUCCUGACUGACCGAUAGUGAACCAGUACCGUGAGGGAAAGGCGAAAAGAACCCCGGCGAGGGGAGUGAAAAAGAACCUGAAACCGUGUACGUACAAGCAGUGGGAGCUCGCUUAGGCGUGUGACUGCGUACCUUUUGUAUAAUGGGUCAGCGACUUAUAUUCUGUAGCAAGGUUAACCGAAUAGGGGAGCCGAAGGGAAACCGAGUCUUAACUGGGCGUUAAGUUGCAGGGUAUAGACCCGAAACCCGGUGAUCUAGCCAUGGGCAGGUUGAAGGUUGGGUAACACUAACUGGAGGACCGAACCGACUAAUGUUGAAAAAUUAGCGGAUGACUUGUGGCUGGGGGUGAAAGGCCAAUCAAACCGGGAGAUAGCUGGUUCUCCCCGAAAAGCUAUUUAGGUAGCGCCUCGUGAAUUCAUCUCCGGGGGUAGAGCACUGUUUCGGCAAGGGGGUCAUCCCGACUUACCAACCCGAUGCAAACUGCGAAUACCGGAGAAUGUUAUCACGGGAGACACACGGCGGGUGCUAACGUCCGUCGUGAAGAGGGAAACAACCCAGACCGCCAGCUAAGGUCCCAAAGUCAUGGUUAAGUGGGAAACGAUGUGGGAAGGCCCAGACAGCCAGGAUGUUGGCUUAGAAGCAGCCAUCAUUUAAAGAAAGCGUAAUAGCUCACUGGUCGAGUCGGCCUGCGCGGAAGAUGUAACGGGGCUAAACCAUGCACCGAAGCUGCGGCAGCGACGCUUAUGCGUUGUUGGGUAGGGGAGCGUUCUGUAAGCCUGCGAAGGUGUGCUGUGAGGCAUGCUGGAGGUAUCAGAAGUGCGAAUGCUGACAUAAGUAACGAUAAAGCGGGUGAAAAGCCCGCUCGCCGGAAGACCAAGGGUUCCUGUCCAACGUUAAUCGGGGCAGGGUGAGUCGACCCCUAAGGCGAGGCCGAAAGGCGUAGUCGAUGGGAAACAGGUUAAUAUUCCUGUACUUGGUGUUACUGCGAAGGGGGGACGGAGAAGGCUAUGUUGGCCGGGCGACGGUUGUCCCGGUUUAAGCGUGUAGGCUGGUUUUCCAGGCAAAUCCGGAAAAUCAAGGCUGAGGCGUGAUGACGAGGCACUACGGUGCUGAAGCAACAAAUGCCCUGCUUCCAGGAAAAGCCUCUAAGCAUCAGGUAACAUCAAAUCGUACCCCAAACCGACACAGGUGGUCAGGUAGAGAAUACCAAGGCGCUUGAGAGAACUCGGGUGAAGGAACUAGGCAAAAUGGUGCCGUAACUUCGGGAGAAGGCACGCUGAUAUGUAGGUGAAGUCCCUCGCGGAUGGAGCUGAAAUCAGUCGAAGAUACCAGCUGGCUGCAACUGUUUAUUAAAAACACAGCACUGUGCAAACACGAAAGUGGACGUAUACGGUGUGACGCCUGCCCGGUGCCGGAAGGUUAAUUGAUGGGGUUAGCGCAAGCGAAGCUCUUGAUCGAAGCCCCGGUAAACGGCGGCCGUAACUAUAACGGUCCUAAGGUAGCGAAAUUCCUUGUCGGGUAAGUUCCGACCUGCACGAAUGGCGUAAUGAUGGCCAGGCUGUCUCCACCCGAGACUCAGUGAAAUUGAACUCGCUGUGAAGAUGCAGUGUACCCGCGGCAAGACGGAAAGACCCCGUGAACCUUUACUAUAGCUUGACACUGAACAUUGAGCCUUGAUGUGUAGGAUAGGUGGGAGGCUUUGAAGUGUGGACGCCAGUCUGCAUGGAGCCGACCUUGAAAUACCACCCUUUAAUGUUUGAUGUUCUAACGUUGACCCGUAAUCCGGGUUGCGGACAGUGUCUGGUGGGUAGUUUGACUGGGGCGGUCUCCUCCUAAAGAGUAACGGAGGAGCACGAAGGUUGGCUAAUCCUGGUCGGACAUCAGGAGGUUAGUGCAAUGGCAUAAGCCAGCUUGACUGCGAGCGUGACGGCGCGAGCAGGUGCGAAAGCAGGUCAUAGUGAUCCGGUGGUUCUGAAUGGAAGGGCCAUCGCUCAACGGAUAAAAGGUACUCCGGGGAUAACAGGCUGAUACCGCCCAAGAGUUCAUAUCGACGGCGGUGUUUGGCACCUCGAUGUCGGCUCAUCACAUCCUGGGGCUGAAGUAGGUCCCAAGGGUAUGGCUGUUCGCCAUUUAAAGUGGUACGCGAGCUGGGUUUAGAACGUCGUGAGACAGUUCGGUCCCUAUCUGCCGUGGGCGCUGGAGAACUGAGGGGGGCUGCUCCUAGUACGAGAGGACCGGAGUGGACGCAUCACUGGUGUUCGGGUUGUCAUGCCAAUGGCACUGCCCGGUAGCUAAAUGCGGAAGAGAUAAGUGCUGAAAGCAUCUAAGCACGAAACUUGCCCCGAGAUGAGUUCUCCCUGACUCCUUGAGAGUCCUGAAGGAACGUUGAAGACGACGACGUUGAUAGGCCGGAUGUGUAAGCGCAGCGAUGCGUUGAGCUAACCGGUACUAAUGAACCGUGAGGCUUAACCUU
This 2903-nucleotide ribosomal RNA is filed under the name Escherichia coli DEC9D. Its description in RNAcentral is "bacterial LSU rRNA". It matches the Rfam family "Bacterial large subunit ribosomal RNA". Lineage: Bacteria; Pseudomonadati; Pseudomonadota; Gammaproteobacteria; Enterobacterales; Enterobacteriaceae. The record is from RNAcentral.